UAGCUCUGAAGUCACAAAAUGUAGGUAUAGUUCUACUACAAUCGGGGUUUUCUUUCUUUCUUUCAUCUGCAGAGUUCGCUCUUAUUGAUGGACUAAAGCUCGAUUUGGGGAACCAAGAAUUGGUAACCAGAGGAGCUCGAGUUUAUUGUUUCCUACCGAAGCUGCUGCAACCAGUUUCCGACCAAGCUUCUGUUGGCAUUUAUCCAUGGCUCCGAUCAAAGAUUAAGAAGCUUAAUCUGUAAUUACUCUGAGAAGGGAAUAUGGUCUGAGUAUGUGAAUGAAUUGGUUCGUAAUUCGAGCACAACUUCAACUGUGCCGCCGUUGAUUAACGAUGAAGAACCAAGCUGAUAAUUUUCCAAUGUUGAAUGGCGUAUGAUUGAUGGGUUUAAUAUGAAUUGAACUAUGUAGGAUUUUUUUUGGAGAAAUUGAAAGCCAUAAAAGUUUAAAGCUAUGGCAAGAAGAGUAUGGGUCACGGCAUGUUUGAUAAAAAGUCUGAAUGACCAUUUCUGUUUUCUUGCAUCAUCUUUCCAAUCUCUUCCUUCCUGACGGGUGUCUGCAGCAAUAACCUUCUUACCAAGAUUAUACGAAAUUGCAGCAACAUCCUUGGUAGUUCGAUGCUUGAAUCCUUGGAGUUUACAGUAACAGCACCCAUCUUUAUAGAAGAACAAAGGUUGCUCGUGUAUUUGACUAGGCAGGUUGUUUUCCGUUGUCAUAAAUGAUCAUCACUGGUACAUCAAAACUGAAAAUACUUGCAGAUGUGUAUCUCCCCUGUUCUUACCAAAGCUACUGCUUCUACCCAUUUAGUAAAGUAGUCAGUUGUAGCUAACGAAUACUUGACGCCCCCAAGUGCAGCUGGAAACGAAGCUACAACAUCCAUUCCUCACAUGUUAAACGGCCACGGGCUCACAACCAGAUGCAACUCAUUCGCUGGUCUCUUUAUAAGAGGGCCAUGCAUGUUUAGCUGAUCAACCAAGCAUUUUCUUAUAUAGUCCUUGCAAUCACUGUGCAUAUAAGGGCAGAAGUACUAUUUGGGAUAAAAGCCUAUGCGCCAGACUCCUUCCUUCAGAAUGAUCCUCACAACACCCUUCAUGUGCCUGAGCGAACAAUUGCUUCCCUUCCUCUCAAGUCACACAAGGAAGAUGAAUUUGUGCACAUGUGUACCAACUUCAUUCUCACCAAUGCUACUACCUCAAGCCAUUUGUUGAUGCAGUCAAUUACAUCUAGCAAGUAGUACAUGCCUCGGUGCAGCGGGAAAUGGACCUAUAAUGUCCAAUCCCAUCCCCAAUUGCUGGAAUAUCCACUGACUCGUAGCUAGACAUCGUUCUCCUGCUGGACUCUUCAUAAGAGGCCAUGUAGCUACUACAAUUCUUGUAUACUUUUUUUGCGUUACUUUGCAUAAGGACAAUAGUAUCCUUGAGAUAAAAACCUAUGCGUCACACUUCUUCCUCCGAAAUGAUUCUCGCAGCACCUUUAAUGAUUCUCGCAGCACCUUUAGCGAGCGGUUGCUUCCUUCAUCCCAAGUCAUACAAGGAAGGUAGGACUCCAUGGCAAUGCAAUUGUUGUUUUUGUAGAGAUGCAUAUAUUUCAUAAUCUAUAUAUGUACA
Molecule: long non-coding RNA, 1604 nt
Organism: Papaver somniferum (opium poppy)
Lineage: Eukaryota; Viridiplantae; Streptophyta; Magnoliopsida; Ranunculales; Papaveraceae
Exons: 3
Source: RefSeq, a predicted model, not a curated record